This 643-nucleotide long non-coding RNA is filed under the name Bemisia tabaci. Its description in RNAcentral is "lncRNA ENSSWEETPG013132". The record is from RNAcentral. Lineage: Eukaryota; Metazoa; Arthropoda; Insecta; Hemiptera; Aleyrodidae.
GCAAGUGAGGGUGCGGCGAGGUUAAAAAGUGUUGGAGGCACGCAGAGAGUUGCGCCAGUUACUAGUCGUGCACUUCCACGUUGCCGCGGGAAGAGCCUCGGUCAACUGGUAGAGGAAUUUGAGGACAUCGAGGAUGAGCGGAGGGACUUGCUCAAGGAUUCCCUGAAAACUAUCGAAGUCACCGAGAACCAGAAUGCAGUGAGGUACCUGGUUCGUCUGGCAGAGGCACAUGUGACGUUGGUCAGGCUCCGGAAAUACUUGCAGGCUGCAGAAAAGGUCCUCCACGCUGCCCAUUCGCUUACAUCGGAGCAUGGACUGCCAGAUGUUAGAGUGACGGUCGCCAAGAGUAGAAUCGAGAAUGAUGCCCUGAGAAACCUUUUGUUGAAGCUGUCGAAAAUCUAUUCCGAAACGAGUGACACUCAAGUUUGGAGCAUGCCGUACAUCGUGCGAGGUCUAUUACUGCCGGUUUCUCGCGCUUUCAUUCAUAGUGAAGAAAAACUCCUGGAAGCAAUCGUGAAAUUCCAGUCCGAGCUAAGUCGUGCCACGGAAAAGAAAAGCAUCCUUCUAGUCAGUUGACCGAUCCCAGAUGACCACGAAUCCAUUAUUUCUCCUCCAUAUUAAAACAUUUUCUGAAAAUCUUUUA